AUGCUUGAAUUUUUCAAAGCAGUAUUUGUAAGGCUUCAGGGUCCAGAGCUAGAAGUGACUCUGCAGCACAAGGCUGGAAGAAAUCCAGGCUCAGGACCGCCUUCCCUUUCCUUCCCAGAGCCGCCCACCGACUGUUUGACAGGCACAAACUGGAGUUCUUUCCACACGGCGUGGCAGGGCCACGAAGAAGCCGCUCCUGGGUUUCUAGAAAUCGUUAGCACCAGUUGCAACACCCUAGCAAAUAAUUGCUGGUGCCAGGACCUUGAUACCCCAGCCAUGCAGAGUGGAGACGUAGACCCAUCCAUUGCUGUUAAUCUCCACAUUAUCAGCAUGACUUCUCUGGGUCUUGUUAACCCCUGCACCCUCCCCUUCAGGCAGCACCCCAUCUCCACUCCUUCUGGAAUCUCCACCUGGCUCAGCCCACCUGCCUCGACUCCUGCCUCCACCACGUCCAUCAGAGUGACCCAGAAAUCCUACAAGGUGUCCACCUUUGGCCCCCCGGCCUUCAGCAGCCACUCUUACAUGAGUGGGCCUGAUGUCUACCUCAGCUCCUUGAGUUUCUCCUGAGUGGGCAGCAGCAACCUUCGGGGUGGCCUGGGUGGAGGCUAUGGUGGGGCCAGUGGCAUGAGAGGCAUCACUGCUGUCAUAGUCAACCAGAGCCUGCUGAGCCUUCUUAACCUGGAGGUGGACCCCAACAUUCAGGCUGUGUGCACUGAGGAGAAGGAGCAGAUCAAGACCCUCAACAACAAGUUUGCCUCCUUCAUCUAGAGGGUAAGGUUCCUGGAGCAGCAGAACAAGAUGCUGGAGGCCAAGUGGAGCCUCCUGCAGCAGCAGAAGACGACUCAGAGCAACAUGGACAACAAGUUCGAGAGCGACGUCAACAACCUUAGGCAGCAGCUAGAGACUCUGGGCCAGGAGGAGUUGAAGCUGGAGGCGGAGCUUGGCAACAUGCAGGGGCUGGUGGAGGACUUCAAGAACAAGUAGGAGGAUGGGAUCAGUAAGCAUACAGAGAUGGAGAAUGAAUUUGUCCUCAUCAAGAAGGAGGUUGAUGAAGCUUACAUGAACAAGGUACAGGUGAGUCUCUCCUGGAAGGGCUGACUGACGAGAUCAACUUCCUCAGGCAGCUGUAUGAAGAGGAGAUCCGGGAGCUGCAGUCCCAGAUCUCCAACGUGUCUGUGGUGCUGUCCAUGGACAACAGCGGCUCUCUGGACGUGGACAGCAUCAUCGCUGAGGUCAAGGCGCAGUACGAGGAGAUUGCCAACCGCAGCUGGGCUGAGACUGAGAGCAUGUACCAGAUCAAGUAUGAGGAGCUGCAGACCCUGGCUGGGAAGCACGGGGAUGAUCUGCGGCGCAGGAAGACUGAGAUCUCCGAGAUGAACCGGAACAUCAGCCAGCUCCAGGCUGAGAUUGAGGGCCUCAAAAAGGCCAGAGGGCUUUCCUGGAGGCUGCCAUCGCAGAUGCUAAGCAGCGCCCUUAAGGAUGCCAACGCCAAGUUGUCCGAGCUGGAGGCCGCCCUGCAGCGGGCUAAGCAGGAUGUGGCGCUGCAGGUGCAUAAGUACCAGGAGCUAAUGAAUGUCAAGCUGGCCCUGGACGUAGAGAUCGCCACCUACAGGAAGCUGCUGGAGGGCGAGGAGAGACGGCUGGAGUCUGGAAUACAGAACGUGAGUGUCCAUAUGAAGACCGCCAGUGGCUAUGCUGGUGGGCUGAGCACGGCCUAUGGCGGCCUCACAAGCUCCAGCCUCAGCUACGGCCUGGGCUCCAGCUUUGGCUCUGGCGCGGGUUCCAGCUGCUUCAGCCGCACCAGCUCCACCGGGGCCGUGGUUGUGAAGAAGAUUGAGAACAGUGAUGGGAAGCCGGAGUCCCAGUCCUCUGACAUCCUGCCCAAGUGAACAACUGCGGCAGCCCCUCCCAGUCUGCCUCUUCUGGCUGCCCCAGAGCCCGGGAGGGAAGCUGCUGUCCAGGGGAGCACAGGGUACAGG
RNA transcript from Mandrillus leucophaeus (drill), 1979 nucleotides. It is a transcript of the gene named keratin, type II cytoskeletal 8 pseudogene, with no coding region annotated. The record is from RefSeq and is a predicted model, not a curated record. The transcript is spliced from 3 exons. Lineage: Eukaryota; Metazoa; Chordata; Mammalia; Primates; Cercopithecidae.